This is a long non-coding RNA of Oreochromis niloticus (Nile tilapia), 567 nucleotides long. RefSeq lists it as uncharacterized. NCBI's taxonomy places the organism in Eukaryota, Metazoa, Chordata, Actinopteri, Cichliformes, Cichlidae. The transcript is spliced from 3 exons. The record is from RefSeq and is a predicted model, not a curated record.
GGACACUGGGCCUCGAGGCCUGGAGUUGGACACCCCUGGUUUACAUCUUUACACAAGCUGAUGGUUACACUCUGUGACCUGAGCUGGUGUUUUGUGGUCCCUGUGACUAUAACAGUGAGAUAUUACUGGCUUUUAAGUACCUGUAAACAAAGUCCCGGCAGGUGAGACGUCUUUGGUUGUUGUCUGACAUUCGCCCGAAGUGGGAUUACAAAUUCUGCACGUUACAGUUUUUAAUCCGCUGAUGUUGGCUUUGCUGAAGACGCUGAAUGUUCCAUUCCUGGUGUUGUUAUCAAUCUUUACUUCCAGCGGCUCCAGGAUGGCUUCAUUUCCCUGGUUGUCUGUGGAGAGCCACAUCACUUCAGGUUCAGGAUAGCCCCCCGCCGUGCUGCAGGUUGCUGAGGCCUGGCUUAGCUCGAUGUUUGGUUCCUGGAAGACCGCUGGAAACAAGUCACAGAAGAGAGAAGUAUGCGGACCUGCCACAUGCAGGGUCUUCUGACAGAUAUUCUCCUUUGAGUCAUCUGAAAUAAAAGCAACUUCAAUGAAGGUCCGAUCGUGGUCCAGCAUCAG